This 2652-nucleotide long non-coding RNA is filed under the name Musa acuminata (dwarf banana). RNAcentral's name for it is "long non-coding RNA (MACU_LNC010297)". The record is from RNAcentral. Lineage: Eukaryota; Viridiplantae; Streptophyta; Magnoliopsida; Zingiberales; Musaceae.
GAUAGUUCAUUUUGGACUCAAUUGUCUUCUAUGCUCUAUUAGUUAUUAUAAGGUGUCUAACCUUUAGUAUCUUAAGAUGGAAAGUUAUGAACAUAACAUUUUUGGUAGUGAUUGUGGAUAGUAAUAAUGAAGUGUGGUCAGAUAUGCUAGAUUAGCGAUCAUUUAGUGCAAGGAUUGAUAUUUCAGUCCGGUUCUGGUAUUGGUCAGCAGCUGGAUUGAUUCAGUUUUGUCUGCACCGGGCCAAGUAAAACUAAUUAAAUUUACUUAUUAUAUUUUUUCACUUAUUGAUGAAUCAAAAUAUGUUUAAUGUAUAUAUCAAGAAAACAUGUGUAAAAAAACUUAUAAAAGUGCUACAGUGGGAAUAUAAUUGAAAUUUUCAAAUAGUUGUAAAUAAAUAGUCAAGUAAAAAGCAAAAAUAAUAUAUCUUAUGUAUUGUUAGUGGCCACUAUCACCAAAAAUGGGCACUGUGCUGAAGUGAGAUGUAGGUCGUGGUCCCAACGUCAGAUGGUAGUAGAUCCUCAGUAUAGGUUUAAAAUCCAUUCAUGACAUUGCUCUAUGAUAAUUGUUACUGAUUUAUCAUGCAUGAAACAAACUAGCAAGAUUUGUGACCUGUUGAUCAUUAAGUAUAGUUAGGUUCCUAGCUGCUCCCCAUGUUGGUAACUAUCCUGGCUUGGGGCAUGUAGGGUCAGGGAAGACCUAUAUUGGCUGUUGAGAGGUAAAAUUAUGACUAUCGUCACUAUAUUGACUCUGAGCCAUAUGAAGCAUUAGAUUCAGCAAAUUGAGAUUAAUUAUCAACAUCACAUUGUGGCGUAUGAACGAUGAUGUUUGCACCUGUACUACUCAGAUGCAAAUCCUCUGGGUAUGGCUGAACUAUGCAUAGCUAAUGAUAAAUACAUGACUAGCCCAUACUCAUGCAAGCAAAAAUUGGAGCAUGAAAAUAUAUGUGCAUAUACUCUGCCUGAUAUCCAUUUCUCAAUGAUAUGCACAUAUAGUACAUGCACAAUAGACAAAGAGAGUUCUUUUAACUGGAGUAUUUUCCCUAUUUUUAUUCCUGUUAGUUUACUUCUCUUUGCAGCAUGCCAAUGUUGCAUAGCUCAUUGGCUCUUGGUGAUUAAUUCAUCAUAUUGGGAACUAAUGCAUAUGUAAUACAUGUUCAAUAGGGAGAGAACAGUAUAAUCUGGGAACAAUGCCACAAUGCCAAUUUCUUUUAGUUUACAUCUCUGUGCAGAAUACUAAUGUUACAUACGGCUCUUGGUGAAUAAGUCAUCUUUCAGAAAGUAUAUUCAGUCAAAGAGGAUGAAGAACAUCUUGUUUCCAUUGAAUUGAUUGUUUGUUUGAUUUGAGACAUUGAUGUGAAAUUUGAUUACUCUUUAUGUUGAAUUGCUUAAGUUGUCAAUUUAAGGUCUAAUAUGCAUGUUAUGUUAAAAGUUUCUACCUUACAAGUGGUUUUGUAUCAAUAUGUUCAGUUUUCUGUUUACUUAGUGUGGGUUCUGCAGUAGUAUGUUCAGUUUCUACCUUACAAGUCAUUUUUGCCUAUAUAAUUUUUUCCUUUGUUCUUGUUUCUUAACAAUGGAUGUAGAUUCAUUUUGAUGAAGGAUUAUCAGCACGACAUAGAGCAGCAGGAGAGGCUACUAGAGUGGUUUCCAAGUCUGUUCGUGGAAAGAGUGCCUCUGAAAAACUAAGUGAAGAUGGGCUUGUAAAGUUCUCAGCCCGGGUAGCUAUCCAGGUGGGAUAAUAACAUUGUUGAACUAAAGCAGCUUCUUAUAUUCUAAUAACUAGAGGACAUGCAUCCCAACAUGUUUUGUUUCUGUACCAAAUUAAACUUCUAAUUUUCUAUCAUGCAUAUUCAAUAGCAGAUCUUUUUUUGCAACUACAUAAAAAUACUUGCACAAAAUCAUAAGCUUACACACUAAUAUGCUUGUCAAUGCUCACAUUGGUCCUUCAUAUGAAUUGCCUACACAAAUAUUUAAAUGUAUAUAGGAAUAUGAAUAGAAUUAUUGAUUAAAAGUAGAUUAAAUUACAAUUGUUUUGGCAUUUCAUCAGAUUGGCUUGUCUUGUAUGCUAAGAUGAACCUUGGCACCAUCAGAAGGUUGCUUGUUGCGACCUGGAUGGAUAGGGUUCAAAUCAUAGAAUUAAUGUCUUUGCCUGUAGAGGUAAGACUAGAUACACUAAUUCGCAUGAGAUCCUGCAUUAGCAAGAACCUUGUGCAUUGGGUGGGCUUGAGUUUUGUAUGCCCUAGUUGCCUAUACUAGAACAUGGUUUUUCCGUUUUGUAUGCCAUUUGUGUCCUAUAUUGCAUGGCUCACUAACUUUACAGAGCAUCUUGUUCAUUGUUAUUUUUUCAAGCAAUGGAUUGGUUUCCUGCAAAACCAGAGUGUUGUCUAUGUUGGUACCAAUUGGGAAACUGAGGGUCCAAAAUAAGAAAAAAUAUGGAAGUAGUGGUCUUUUCUGCAUCUGUAACUGAUGGACCUGGUAACCUAUACUGAAAUCUUUGUCAGGUAGCCCAGAGGUUUCUACUUAACUCUUGUCUUUUAGUUGUUUUUUUUUUCGUUUUUUGAUGUAGCAUAACCACAGUGCUCUUAUCUCCAUACCACCUACCGAGUUACCAACUAUUUGUCAAGUGGAGGAACAAGAGGAGGUUGUCGUGGUUGAU